CUUGCCCCCCCAUCACAGCUGUUUACACUGUUCAGCAUGGUGAGGGGAAGGUGGGCUGGGGAGAUGCCAAUUGAUCCUAUCUGUCCCCAGGCCCGUCUGCCUUGCACCCACCGCUGGAGGCACUGGACAGAGUGGGUGGGCAGGUGGGUGGGUAUGCGGGGUCUCCAUGCAGAAAAGCCUAGGACCCCUUUAGGCAGGGUGUGCUUGGCCAGGCAGAAGGGAUGGGUCUGUGGGAGGCAGGGAGCAGUGUCUGAAAGCAGGAUGGGUAGGUAGUGUGGAAUCAGAAAAAAUAAAUGCCUUAAACUUUGAUCAUUUGAGUUAUAAGAUGACAUAACUGCUUUGUGGAGAAUUGCUGGCUCUGUAUAGUAGAACAGAUAAGAGAAAGUGUUUGUUCUUUGUAACUCCUCUGCAACUGCUUCACUCACCACGGCCUUGAAGAUAGCAAAAAGUAUGUACAACUCUGAUUUCCAGGUGUAAGAAGGAGGUUUGUGAACUAACCUUGCCUCCCCCAUAAGUUCCCAUCCUGAUUACAGCAAAGAAGUAAUGAAGUAAUGUUAUAGCUGCUUUUCAUGUUAAUUGCACUAUAUGAUCAUGUGAAUUGUAAGCGACUGUUAAAAAGUAUAUAAGCCUCCUGAUUUUGCUCUUGGGGGGGAACCCCUUCCAAGUGCUUGGGAAAUCCAUGUCACUUUGGAGUCCCCACUACAGCUGUAGUUUCUUUUGAAUAAAAGCUUCUGCUGACCUGACCCAAAAGUAUGCUGCGUGUGUUUCCACGACAAUUCCUGGUGCCGUGACUCAGAUCCAGAACACAUGCUGAGGAAGGAGGACCGUGGACUGCCCCCCCCAAACUCCGAGGCGCCAAACUUGAGAGCAGAUCGGUCUCCUUUGGCUAGCCUUUCAAGUCUGGCCCUUCUUCAAAAUCAGGCCCCAAAAAAGGAAAUAGAUGACUGGCUGCGUGAAGGAUGUUCACUGUACCCCGACUCUCUCUGGCGCUCCCCGGACAGCCGCCUGGUGGCGCCUAGAGAGCUUUUGCCAUAUCUUGCUCAUUUAACCCACUCUGUGGCCCAUACGAGCAAAGGGGGAAUGAUUGCUACAGUACAAAGAAAUUGGUUUGCCCCAAAUUUUCCUUCCAUGGCACAACAGUACUGUAGCUCCUGUCCCAUCUGUUUAGCUCACAACAUUGGGCAACGGGUAAAAACGAUACCCGCAGCCCAUCCCCCUCCAUGGGGACCGUUUGUGAAUCUGCAAAUUGAUUUCGUGCAGCUACCUAAGUGCUGUUCUUAUGAGUACAUUCUUGUUAUUAUUGAUGUGUUCUCUGAAUGGGUAGAAGCCAACCCAUGCGUACAUGCUGAUUCCAUCACUGUAGCGAAGAAAUUGCUCAAAGAAUUCAUCCCUAGAUUUGGAUUGCCCCUCACAAUAGAUAGCAACCAAGGCACCCAUUUCACAGAACAGAUAAUAAAAAACAUCUGCCAAGCACUCAACAUACAACGACACCUACACUGUAGUUAUCAUCCACAAUCAAGUGGUGCUGUAGAACAUAAAAACUCUGAUUUGAAAACGCGCAUUUCGAAGAUUUGUGCUGAAACAGGCCUCAAAUGGCCUGAUGCGCUGCCCAUUGCUCUUAUGCACAUUAGGAACACUGUUAACAGAAAACAUGGCCUAACCCCUUAUGAAAUACUCAUGGCAUGACCCACGAGGAUGCCAGCUACACCACCUGUUGCCCCACCAAACAGACCUACAAUUAACUGAUGAAACUGUACUAAAUUAUUGCAAGGCAUUAAUGAAGUAUGCCAGGUCAGUUCAUUCACAGGUCCAAGAAGCCUUACCUCAACCACUGGAUGUUCCAUCACAACCUCGAACCAGGAGAUUGGGUCUACAUAAAGGUCUAUCAACGGAAAAACGCACUUCAACCCAGAUGGAAGGGACCUUUCCAGGUACUUCUGACCACUAAUUCUGCUGUUCAUUGCCAAGGUCACCAAACGUGGACUCAUGCCUCGCACUGCAAGAAGGUAUCACCUCCAUUGGACCCCGAAGCAGCUGAAUUCCAACCAAGGUUGAAAUCUUUCCCUGAGGCCAAGGACAAAGACCCUCAGGACCUCACUCAGGCAAGUGAGGAGCAUCAGGGUGCAAGUGCUAGUAACCUCUCCCCUGAACCCAACACCUCAGCCCAGCUGGAUUCAUCAGUUGAAGAACGAAGAUAUCAUCUCCAGCCUUGAAGAAAGUGAAUGCUCACACUCGGAAGAUCACCACCUCUAUCAAGACCAAGAGCCGAUGUUAUCAGUCCUUUAAGUAACCUGAACCCAAAGGACGAAGAAAGACUUUGGCUGCCAUCCUGGGUUUGGCUAGAUAGCAGCCCAACAUGGUCCAUCCUAUACGAUGCAUGUCAAUUUAAAGUGCCGGAUAAGGUAAAACACCUGUUCAGAUUUGAGUACCCUUUCUGCCCCAGGCCUUUACUGGCUCUGCAGAAACAGGGCUCAUAAAAUCUUGCCCUAGAAUUGGGUGGGGGCAUACACUCUUAGAUGUGUUAUCCCUGGUUUCAAAAUGUAUAGUGCAAUAUAUCUGGAACAAGUAAAAAAUUUCAACAAUCACAUAAAAAGGGCGGUUAACCCCUUAGCUACCAGAAACACAGGGUUCCAUCAAUUUGUGAGACCCUUCAUACUGUGGCUUGGAGUAAGAGAAUUGGAAUUAGCCAUAAUUAAUGGUUCAGCCACAAUGGAAGCUAUGGGAAAUGCCACUGCAGAUGCAAUUCAGGCUCUGCAAGAAGAGAUCUCCCAGAUCUCACAAGUAACUAUACAAUACCGCAUAGCCCUAGAUUACCUAUUGGUAUCCCAGGGAGGAGUAUGUGCCUUAGUAAACUCCACCUGUUGUGUCUAUGUCAACCAGGACAUGCGAAUAGAAACCGACAUUCGUAAAAUUCAAAAUCAGUUAAGGGUCCUUACAUCAAGUGGCCUCAAAAAAAAAAUAAAAUACUGACUGGGGUCUAGAAGAAAUGUGGUCUUAGCUAACCUCCUGGCUCCCAGAUUUUGGGGCCCUUGGCAAGAAAAUCCUGUAUAGAAUAUUGUUUUUCUUGAUAGUUCCGACAAUGUUUUAUGUCUUAGUGCAACUGAUCCUCUGCUGCUUGAAAGCCAGCAGAAGAAGCUUUCACAAAGCAAGAAAACCCAUGGCAGAAUCUAGAAUAAUGGUAUUACAAAAGUGUGAGCAGAUUAAAAGAAAACAUGAAAGGCUGCAUGACGAAAUAGAGGGGCUCAUGAGAAUGGAAGUUUAAGGCUAAAGUGAGACUAAAUAGUCUCAAAGGGGGACUGUGGAAUCAGAAAAAAUAAAUGCCUUAAACUUUGAUCAUUUGAGUUAUAAGAUGACAUAACUGCUUUGUGGAGAAUUGCUGGCUCUGUAUAGUAGAACAGAUAAGAGAAAGUGUUUGUUCUUUGUAACUCCUCUGCAACUGCUUCACUCACCACGGCCUUGAAGAUAGCAAAAAGUAUGUACAACUCUGAUUUCCAGGUGCAAGAAGGAGGUUUGUGAACUAACCUUGCCUCCCCUCAUAAGUUCCCAUCCUGAUUACAGCAAAGAAGUAAUGAAGAAAUGUUAUAGCCGCUUUUCAUGCUAAUUUCACUAUAUGAUCACAUGAGUUGUAAGCGACUGUUAAAAAGUAUAUAAGCCUCCUGAUUUUGCUCUUGGGGGGGAACCCCUUCCAAGUGCUUGGGAAAUCCAUGUCACUUCGGAGUCCCCCCUACAACUGUAGUUUCUUUUGAAUAAAAGCUUCUGCUGACCUGACCCAAAAGUAUGCUGCGUGUGUUUCCACGACAGUAGGGUCAGGGCCAGGGCUAGGGCCAGGACCAUGGGACAGUGAAAGCGAAGGGCUGGGGCCCAGGUCAGAGCCACAUCUGCUCCCCACACAUUCCUGGGAUGGGCACCGGUUUCAUAGGCAGGGAAAGGGAAGAGACCAGGUCCAGCAGUGGUGAUACUAGCAGCGACAGUUGGAAUGUGAGGACGAAAGUUACUGCUCCUCCUGGCCCUGUGGAUGACAGCUGCUGGCAUGCCCAAGAGCCGUGCAUAAGGACAGGGCAAGCUGUGGUUCAUGCCAGGCAGCACCUCCAUGUCUGGGGGUAGUGGGACAGGCCACACGCAACAGCCUGGGCUAUCCCCUACCCAUGGGCUGGGUGGGGCUGAGGGACCCACUAAUGGCUGGAAAAAAAUCAUUUGGGUGGGCCGGAUUCAGCCCACAGGCCACAAUUUGCCUACCCCUGCUUUAACAUGUAGCCAGCUUACUAUUUAUGGUGUGAUGAACACAUUAAUCUCAUCUUAAAUGUAACAUGUGCCAGAAUUCUUAGAAAAAAGAGGACUGUAAAUACUUGCUUACUGUUUCGCAAUAAAAGCUGCUGUUUAGUUCUUCUCAUUC
Molecule: long non-coding RNA, 4393 nt
Organism: Alligator mississippiensis (American alligator)
Lineage: Eukaryota; Metazoa; Chordata; Crocodylia; Alligatoridae
Exons: 2
Source: RefSeq, a predicted model, not a curated record